Molecule: ribosomal RNA, 400 nt
Filed under: uncultured Gammaproteobacteria bacterium
Lineage: Bacteria; Pseudomonadati; Pseudomonadota; Gammaproteobacteria
Description: bacterial SSU rRNA
Rfam family: Bacterial small subunit ribosomal RNA
Source: RNAcentral
GAGUUUGAUCAUGGCUCAGAUUGAACGCUGGCGGCAUGCCUAACACAUGCAAGUCGAGCGAGGUGUAGCAAUACAUCUAGCGGCGGACGGGUGAGGAACACAUAGGAAUCUGCCUCAGAGCGGGGGAUAGCCCAGGGAAACUUGGAGUAAUACCGCAUGAUGUCGAGAGACCAAAGCCGGGGACCGCAAGGCCUGGCACUCUGAGAGGAGCCUAUGUCUGAUUAGCUAGUUGGUGAGGUAAUGGCUCACCAAGGCGACGAUCAGUAACUGGUCUGAGAGGACGAUCAGUCACACUGGAACUGAGGCACGGUCCAGACUCCUACGGGAGGCAGCAGUGGGGAAUAUUGGACAAUGGGCGCAAGCCUGAUCCAGCAAUGCCGCGUGUGUGAAGAAGGCCUUC